CCUACGGGAGGCAGCAGUAGGGAAUAUUGCUCAAUGGGGGAAACCCUGAAGCAGCAACGUCGCGUGGAGGAUGAAGGUUCUCUGAUUGUAAACUCCUUUUUUUAGAGAAGAUAAUCACGGUAUCUAACGAAUACUCCACGGCUAAUUCCGUUCCAGCAGCCGCGGUACCACGGCGGCUGCAAGCGUUACUCGGAAUCACUGGGCGUAAAGCGGGCGUAGGCGGGAUAGCAAGUCAGAUGUGAAAUCCUAUGGCUUAACCAUAGAACUGCAUUUGAAACUGUUAGUCUAGAGUACGGGAGAGGUAGGUGGAAUUCGUGGUGUAGGGGUAAAAUGCGUAGAGAUCAAGAGGAACACUGAUUGCGAAGGCAACCUGCUAGAACGUAACUGACGCUGAUGCGCGAAAGCGUGGGGAGCAAACAGGAUUAGAUACCCCGGUAGUC
Molecule: ribosomal RNA, 440 nt
Filed under: uncultured bacterium
Lineage: Bacteria
Description: partial 16S ribosomal RNA
Rfam family: Bacterial small subunit ribosomal RNA
Source: RNAcentral